GGACGGUAGAGUUCGGCGCGUCAUCUCGGCGGGUGCGGGAAUUCCGGUGCGAAUCCGGAGCGGUCGCGCCACUGUGACCUCGGCAUUCGUGUCGAGGAAGUCAGACCCCCGCUCGCCGUGCGGAACUCUG
RNAcentral lists this non-coding RNA (130 nucleotides) under Nocardia terpenica. Lineage: Bacteria; Bacillati; Actinomycetota; Actinomycetes; Mycobacteriales; Nocardiaceae. The record is from RNAcentral.